UCCGGGGUAGCUCAGUUGGCAGAGCAGCGGACUGUUAAUCCGCGUGUCGUGGGUUCGAGCCCCACCCCCGGAG
Molecule: transfer RNA, 73 nt
Filed under: Acidimicrobiaceae bacterium
Lineage: Bacteria; Bacillati; Actinomycetota; Acidimicrobiia; Acidimicrobiales; Acidimicrobiaceae
Also listed under: 2 other names
Description: tRNA-Asn
Rfam family: tRNA
About the family: Transfer RNA (tRNA) molecules are approximately 80 nucleotides in length. Their secondary structure includes four short double-helical elements and three loops (D, anti-codon, and T loops).
Source: RNAcentral